This is a long non-coding RNA of Ornithodoros turicata, 1979 nucleotides long. RefSeq lists it as uncharacterized. The record is from RefSeq and is a predicted model, not a curated record. The transcript has 3 exons. NCBI's taxonomy places the organism in Eukaryota, Metazoa, Arthropoda, Arachnida, Ixodida, Argasidae.
ACAAAAAAGCGGAGGAGAGUUUCGCUUGCUGUGUGAUACCUCGCCGCUUCGACACCCGUUGCAUUGGAAACAACGGAAUUCGAAGUCACAUACUCGCAGGUGGAUAUAUGAUGUGACGGACGCACACAGACAUAUUCGAGAUUUGACACGGGGACGCUGCACGGACGCCGGCAUUGACUGUGAUGCAUUUAUUGGGAAAUGGACGAAAAUGAACAUGCACUGGAAGUAGCAUGCUGUUGUUAUCACCAUGCACGAGCCAAGCAUGUAGCACUGACUGAAACAGGUGACCUAGGCUAUAGCGCAGCUCCACUGGUUCCAACUUUGAUGGACACAGCCAUGAGUUUCUUGACAGUAUUGGUAAGGAAAUAGUGUGGAAUCCGAUCAGAAUUGGCUGAUGGUAAGGAAAUAGUGUAUAGGUAUAGGUAGGUGUAUAGAUAUCUCGUGCCACAGAAGUACAUACGAACAGUCCAACAGAAAUACAGCAGCAGUCUAAUCCCAGUCUAUAACUGUGCAGAGGCUCAGAGAGAAAGCAGCAAACCAGGUCCUUCCCACAUCUCUCCGCAAGCUCGGGAUUCAUCGUAAACCCAGGUAGCCAGACAGCCAUGUACGAACCCAUAUUUGCCAACAUUGUAGGUUGUCUACUAGGUAUUUCCAGUGCUUUCGUGACCACUUUGUUCAGUGUGCAGGUUCAGUUUGCCUUCUUGUGAUACUUGUGGGACAACAUUUGAAGCUAUCUAGAGAUACAUACAUUAUUUGAAUUUUUGUAUUUAGAUAAGCAGACGAGUACAGGAUGACAGCCAGCCAACAGAAUGUAUAGGUGAGGUACUUGAGGAGAUGGAGAUGGAGAGGACAGAUCAAAGUUUGCAGAGUUAUCUGAAAAAAAAAUGGGCUAUUUAUGACGUAAUCCAGGCCACCACAUGUGCUCCAAUGUGGUUGUCGAUUGCGUUGUUACCAGCAUAGAGGAGUUGUUUCAGGAAAUGAAUGUGCAGAUUUUUGGUGCAGAAUUGAUCCCAUUUGGUAAAAUGUGGUCAGAUUCGGAAGUUGCAUUAUGUGGAACCCGAUUUCUUGUAACGUGCCUUAAGUGUAAAAUGCGUUGGAGUUCUUUAUCUCAUUAGACUUUUAUGUAGAUGAUUUUUUCCACGCGUAAUGUGAGGAUGAGUACGAAUUACCUAUUUUGCUAUAGACAAAAGUAACUUCUCAACUUUGCCGCAUUAUGGCCAUAGUUGUCGAUGCGCCAUAAAAAAUCCUAAUUAUCAUCAUCAUAACUUCUCAACUCAAUCCCUUUAUAUGUACAUUCAGUGCAAGGUGUUCUGCAGUUUAGUGAUACUCAUAUUUCACAUUCGCCUUUUUUUAUUCAUGAAUCUUCGAGGAUAUUUUGCUCCACUGAAGGGGAGACUAGUCAACUCGAUUGUGACUUUCAGCGCAAAGUGUAUUGCAUGUUGAACUUUUAAUAUUACUGCUAUUUAAUAUGUUACAAUUCAUCCUUUGAAGAGUCUUUCAAUGUGUCAUAUGAAGGUAAUAAAUAAUUUCACACUCUAUUUUCCGAGUAUGGUGCGUACACUCUAAGAAGGAAAGGUAGAAUAUUCUACCCAGCGUUGCAGCCGGACGGUACUUUUACCAUUUCGUGCCAAUUCACACGCGACUUCACCCUCGUGGGCAUAAGCGACGGAGUCCCUUUCCCUUGCUCCUCUCUCUCACGUUUGCUCUAAGAGAAAAUGGUAGAAUUUCCUACCCAAACUGGUAGAAGCUUCUACUCUGUAGUUUGUUUCUACUCUGCAGUUAUACACAAAAGGUAAAGCUGGUUGCAAUGUAGCUCUACCGAAAUGGGUAUAAGAUAGUCUUUUUUUUUUCUUAGAGUAUAGAAUAUUAUGGUAUAUGGACACUUGAUAAUAAAGGAACUCCGUGUUUGCAAAAAAAGAAAAGCUUCAUAUUUUCGCUUAGCAUUUCCUGCGUUUUAUAGGGCAAGAUGCCCUUGAGAA